AUACGGAGGAUGCGAGCGUUAUCCGGAUUUAUUGGGUUUAAAGGGUGCGUAGGCUGUGCGUUAAGUCAGGGGUGAAAUGCCGUCGCUCAACGACGGAGCUGCCCUUGAUACUGGCGUGCUGGAGUACGGAGGCCGUUGGAGGAAUGAGUGGUGUAGCGGUGAAAUGCUUAGAUAUCACUCAGAACACCGAUUGCGAAGGCAUCUGACGAAUCCGUCACUGACGCUGAGGCACGAAAGCGUGGGGAUAGAACAGGAUUAGAUACCCUGGUAUUCCACGCCGUAAACGAUGAUGACUAACCGUCGGCGAUAGACAGCCGGUGGCCAAGCGAAAGCGAUAAGUAAUCCACCUGGGGAGUACGUCGGCAACGAUGAAACUCAAAGGAAUUGACGGGG
RNAcentral lists this ribosomal RNA (393 nucleotides) under uncultured bacterium. RNAcentral's name for it is "partial 16S ribosomal RNA". It matches the Rfam family "Bacterial small subunit ribosomal RNA", at positions 523 to 918 of the family's 1533-position model. The record is from RNAcentral.